This 253-nucleotide ribosomal RNA is filed under the name uncultured bacterium. RNAcentral describes it as "partial 16S ribosomal RNA". It matches the Rfam family "Bacterial small subunit ribosomal RNA", at positions 524 to 776 of the family's 1533-position model. The record is from RNAcentral.
UACGUAGGGGGCAAGCGUUAUCCGGAUUUACUGGGUGUAAAGGGAGCGUAGGCGGCUGUGUAAGCCAGAAGUGAAAGCCCGGGGCUCAACUCCGGGACUGCUUUUGGAACUACAUGGCUUGAUUGCAGGAGAGGCAAGUGGAAUUCCUAGUGUAGCGGUGAAAUGCGUAGAUAUUAGGAGGAACACCAGUGGCGAAGGCGGCUUGCUGGGCUGUAAAUGACGCUGAGGCUCGAAAGCGUGGGGAGCAAACAGG